RNAcentral lists this ribosomal RNA (821 nucleotides) under Thelebolus stercoreus. RNAcentral's name for it is "LSU rRNA". It matches the Rfam family "Eukaryotic large subunit ribosomal RNA", at positions 77 to 919 of the family's 3401-position model. Lineage: Eukaryota; Fungi; Ascomycota; Leotiomycetes; Thelebolales; Thelebolaceae. The record is from RNAcentral.
ACCUCAGUAACGGCGAGUGAAGCGGUAACAGCUCAAAUUUGAAAUCUGGCAGCAAUGUCCGAGUUGUAAUUUGUAGAGGAUGUUUCGAGCAUGGUCUGGCCUAAGUUCCUUGGAACAGGACGUCAUAGAGGGUGAGAAUCCCGUAUGCGGUCAGGUGCCUACGCUCAUGUGAAACUCCUUCGACGAGUCGAGUUGUUUGGGAAUGCAGCUCAAAAUGGGUGGUAAAUUUCAUCUAAAGCUAAAUAUUGGCCAGAGACCGAUAGCGCACAAGUAGAGUGAUCGAAAGAUGAAAAGCACUUUGGAAAGAGAGUUAAACAGUACGUGAAAUUGUUGAAAGGGAAGCGCUUGCAACCAGACUUGCACGCAGUUAAUCAUCCGCUGUUCUCAGUGGUGCACUUGAUUGCGUUCAGGCCAGCAUCGGUUUUGGUGGUGGGAUAAAGGCCUUAGGAAUGUAGCUGCUUUCGGGCAGUGUUAUAGCCUAGGGUGCAAUGCCGCCUACUGGGACCGAGGACCGCGCUUCGGCUAGGAUGCUGGCGUAAUGGUUGUAAGCGACCCGUCUUGAAACACGGACCAAGGAGUCUAACAUCUAUGCGAGUGUUUGGGUGUCAAACCCAUACGCGUAAUGAAAGUGAACGGAGGUCAGAACCCUUAAGGGUGCAUGAUCGACCGGUCCUGAAGUCUUCGGAUGGAUCUGAGUAAGAGCAUAGCUGUUGGGACCCGAAAGAUGGUGAACUAUGCCUGAAUAGGGUGAAGCCAGAGGAAACUCUGGUGGAGGCUCGCAGCGGUUCUGACGUGCAAAUCGAUCGUCAAAUUUGGGUAUA